CGAGAGGAAUCCGGCAGCGGACCCCCCCACAGGCUCCGGGCUGCACCCAGGCCGCCCUUAGCAACGUGACGCCGCAGGCGGUUGCUAGGGCCGGGGCAGGAAGUGCUUGGCGGCGGCGGAGAGCAGUUCCGGGGCAGCGCGGCAUGGCGGCGCGAGGCCGGAGUCUGAAUGAGGAGUCUGAAUGAGGGGGUUCGUGGCAAGCAAAGGCCAGGUGAGGAAUGGAGCGAGCAGCCUGGGUGCUGUGUUGGACCGAGGGUGUGGCCGUGGAUGAAGGUUUGUCAAUAUGUACUUCGUCUGGAUGUCCCGGAGUGGGCCGAGUCAGGGCUGAGGUUUUGGGUGAUUGUGUUUGUUGUGUGGGAAGGGCUGCGUUGGUAGACUGGGGGGGAAGGAGAGGGAGACGUGAAAAGUGCCGGCAGUCAGGAGCACGUCACGUUUCUGCCUGCUCUGUUGAUGCAGUUCUAAGCCUGUGGGUCCCCACGGAGGACGGGUGAGGCAGUGUGGCCCCGUGUGCGUUGCAGCAUUACGCGCGGGUUUUGAAUUUAAUGCGAGUGGUUUGAAUCCAACUGCAGUUGGAUUGAACGUAUUGAUUGUAGGUGAGGGCUGAAUGCCCAGAGGUGACGUGCAAGAAGAGGCGCUGGAUGCUCACAUGGCAAGCAGGGCUUCUGUCUCGCAGGAGGCAGGCGUAGUCAGGUGCACUUUGGAGCCUGCUGCUCUUGGCGCUGAGCUGAGGAGAGCACUCAGUGAGCGGCUGUGUGCUGCGUGUCCCAGCCUGAGAAGGGGAUUCCCUUGUGGAAGGAAGGCGAGGGUGAAGGAGGCUGAGGGCCCUUUUGUCGGGGCCGGCUCCUCUGUGCCCUCAUGCUUGCCAGAGAGAAGGGCUGCCCCCUGGUCACAGGGAGCGCCUUCUACCUCGCAUCCUGUGCCCUGUCCUGCAGCCCCCUCCUCCUCCUCUGUGGAACGCCACUGCCAGCAGUGCGGCUGCCAUUUUAGAA
Molecule: long non-coding RNA, 989 nt
Filed under: Gallus gallus (chicken)
Lineage: Eukaryota; Metazoa; Chordata; Aves; Galliformes; Phasianidae
Description: long non-coding RNA NONGGAT004715
Source: RNAcentral